Molecule: ribosomal RNA, 274 nt
Filed under: uncultured soil bacterium
Lineage: Bacteria
Description: partial 16S ribosomal RNA
Rfam family: Bacterial small subunit ribosomal RNA
Source: RNAcentral
GCGGCUGAUUAGUUAGUUGGUGAGGUAACGGCUCACCAAGACGAAGAUCAGUAGCCGGCCUGAGAGGGCGCACGGCCACACUGGAACUGAAACACGGUCCAGACUCCUACGGGAGGCAGCAGUGGGGAAUUUUGCGCAAUGGGGGAAACCCUGACGCAGCAACGCCGCGUGGAGGAUGAAGUCCCUUGGGAUGUAAACUCCUUUCGAUCGGGACGAUUAUGACGGUACCGGAAGAAGAAGCACCGGCUAACUCUGUGCCAGCAGCCGCGGUAAU